This 465-nucleotide ribosomal RNA is filed under the name uncultured Klebsiella sp. RNAcentral's name for it is "bacterial SSU rRNA". It matches the Rfam family "Bacterial small subunit ribosomal RNA", at positions 338 to 795 of the family's 1533-position model. The record is from RNAcentral. Lineage: Bacteria; Pseudomonadati; Pseudomonadota; Gammaproteobacteria; Enterobacterales; Enterobacteriaceae.
CCUACGGGUGGCAGCAGUGGGGAAUAUUGCACAAUGGGCGCAAGCCUGAUGCAGCCAUGCCGCGUGUGUGAAGAAGGCCUUCGGGUCGUAAAGCACUUUCAGCGGGGAGGAAGGCGUUAAGGUUAAUAACCUUGGCGAUUGACGUUACCCGCAGAAGAAGCACCGGCUAACUCCGUGCCAGCAGCCGCGGUAAUACGGAGGGUGCAAGCGUUAAUCGGAAUUACUGGGCGUAAAGCGCACGCAGGCGGUCUGUCAAGUCGGAUGUGAAAUCCCCGGGCUCAACCUGGGAACUGCAUUCGAAACUGGCAGGCUAGAGUCUUGUAGAGGGGGGUAGAAUUCCAGGUGUAGCGGUGAAAUGCGUAGAGAUCUGGAGGAAUACCGGUGGCGAAGGCGGCCCCCUGGACAAAGACUGACGCUCAGGUGCGAAAGCGUGGGGAGCAAACAGGAUUAGAUACCCCUGUAGUC